UAUUACCUUUAAAGCAAUAAAAUAAUCAUUAUUUAUACAAGUUAAUGGGGUAAUAAUACAAAAUGUACCAUAAUUGGCCACCAGUACGUUAUUUAUUAAAUAUACAGUAGAUAAUACUACAAAAAGUAUAUUUUGUUAUUACGAAGGUUAAUAAAACUGGAAAAAUUCUAAUUUACUGCUACAAAAUUAAAAAAAAGUGAAAUAAAUGUGUUCAGAAAUUAUUUUUAACAGUAACUACUAAAUAAUGCCACAUUACUCCAUCGAAAUGUCAAAAUCCAACAGAAAGGAAGGUAAUCUUAAUUAAUUCGUAUUAAUUACUAAGUAUUACCUUUAAAGCAAUAAAAUAAUCAUUAUUUAUACAAGUUAAUGGGGUAAUAAUGAAAAAUGUACCAUAAUUGGCAACCAGUACGUUAUUUAUUAAAUGUACAGUAGAUAUUACUACAAAAAGCAUAUUUUGUUAGUACGAAGGUUAAUAAAACUGAAAAAAUUCUAAUUUACUGUUACAAAAUUAAAAAGAAAGUGAAAUAAAUGUGUUCAGAAAUUAUUUUUAACAAUAACUACUAAAUAAUGUGACAUUACUCCAUCGAAAUGUCAAAAUCCAACAGAAAGGAAGGUAAUCUUAAUUAAUUCGUAUUAAUUACUAAGUAUUACCUUUAAAGCAAUAAAAUAAUCAUUAUUUAUACAAGUUAAUGGGGUAAUAAUGAAAAAUGUACCAUAAUUGGCAACCAGUACGUUAUUUAUUAAAUGUACAGUAGAUAUUACUACAAAAAGUAUAUUUUGUUAUUACGAAGGUUAAUAAAACUGGAAAAUUUCUAAUUUACUGUUACAAAAUUAAAAAGAAAGUGAAAUAAAUGUGUUCAGAAAUUAUUUUUAACAAUAACUACUAAAUAAUGUGACAUUACUCCAUCGAAAUGUCAAAAUCCAACAGAAAGGAAGGUAAUCUUAAUUAAUUCGUAUUAAUUACUAAGUAUUACCUUUAAAACAACAAAAUAAUCAUUAUUUAUACAAGUUAAUGUGUUAAUAAUAAAAAAUGUAUCAUAAUUGGCAA
Long non-coding RNA from Aethina tumida (small hive beetle), 1048 nucleotides. RefSeq lists it as uncharacterized. The transcript is spliced from 2 exons. Lineage: Eukaryota; Metazoa; Arthropoda; Insecta; Coleoptera; Nitidulidae. The record is from RefSeq and is a predicted model, not a curated record.